RNAcentral lists this ribosomal RNA (246 nucleotides) under uncultured Lactobacillus sp. RNAcentral describes it as "partial 16S ribosomal RNA". It matches the Rfam family "Bacterial small subunit ribosomal RNA", at positions 116 to 355 of the family's 1533-position model. The record is from RNAcentral. Lineage: Bacteria; Bacillati; Bacillota; Bacilli; Lactobacillales; Lactobacillaceae.
CGUGGGUAACCUGCCCAAGAAAUCGGGAUAACACCUGGAAACAGAUGCUAAUACCGGAUAACAACAGAUGAUGCCUAUCAACUGUUUAAAAGAUGGUUCUGCUAUCACUCUUGGAUGGACCUGCGGUGCAUUAGCUAGUUGGUAGGGUAACGGCCUACCAAGGCGAUGAUGCAUAGCCGAGUUGAGAGACUGAUCGGCCACAUUGGGACUGAGACACGGCCCAAACUCCUACGGGAGGCAGCAGCC